Molecule: long non-coding RNA, 1046 nt
Organism: Humulus lupulus (European hop)
Lineage: Eukaryota; Viridiplantae; Streptophyta; Magnoliopsida; Rosales; Cannabaceae
Exons: 3
Source: RefSeq, a predicted model, not a curated record
AAGAUUGGUUUGGGCAUAAAAGAAUAAAAUUAGCAUUCUUUUGGUAAGUUUACUAAACUAUGAAUUUACUUUGAUUUUAUUUAAGGUGCACAUUAUGUAUUGUUUUGGGAAUUUUACUUUGAAUACUUGAUUAUAUUAUGUAUUGUUCUGGGAAUUUUCUGCGUGCAUGAAGUUUUUAUACAAUAUAUAGGGGAGAUGGUGCCUAAUUAUUAAACUAAUUGAUGAUCAUUAUGUUGAUAUGUUGUAAUUGAACAUGUGUCCUGAGAAUUUUAUGCGUGCAAGAAGGUUUUAGUCAAACUUAUAGGUAAGGUUUCGCCCAAAUUUUCAAAAAAUGGGUAGGAGUUGGAUGGCGAAAGAUAGGUUAUCAAAAGAAUAUGAAGAUGGAGUUGAGAGUUUUAUACAAAUAUCCUUGAAAAAUACAGUGGAUCCUAAGUGAGUUCAUUGUCCAUGUCUCAAGUGUUCUAAUUUGAAAAAAUUGGAUGUAUGGUUAUAUGAUAUGGAAAUAAAAAAUUAAUAUGCUCUUCAUAUUGAUGUAUAUAUAGUCUCUUCACACAUUAAGUGAAAGACAGGAAGGAAUGAAAAAAAUUACAAGUGGAAAAUAGUCAAUUGCCCUCGUCAAACAUCGUCAGUAGAGUGUAGCUUUUAUAUCAUAAGGAUGAUGAAGGACUAUUGCUUGAAUGAGACACCCAUGCGAUGGCUAACUAGUAAUUGUGGUGAGAAGAAUACAUAUACACUUGGCGAAAUUGAUGAAACUCAAAAUGAAUGGGCAGCCAAGCUUCUUGAGCGGGAAAUUAUGAAUGAAUAUAGUGUUUGAAAAUAGAUAAAUGAAAAAAAUUCUCAUAUUCUACAUGGGACGUCGGUCUCCAAAAAGUCGUCGUCUUAUGUAUUGCAGGGACGAUGCUUGCACAUAAAUUGUCAUCUCAUGUACUGCAAGAGGACGACGCUUGAGUAAGAACUGCCAUCUCAUUUACUGCAGUGGAUGACGUUUGCAUAGAAACUGUCGCCUCAUGUACCACAAGAGACAACGCUUGUAUAGGAACCAUCGU